CUUGUCAAUCUUGUAUGCUCGAAAUCUCCAUUUCGCCACGCACGACCGAAGCAGAACGCCAGCGCGGUCGCAGCAGAGCGCGAAGCGAGGAGGGAUGGACGAAGAAACCGGUGGGCGAUCGAAGAAGCGACUCCUCCUCGUCCUCGCCGCGAUCUCUCUUCAGUCGCUCUUAGGUCUGGCUGAUGAUCCAUCAAGUUCAAAUGUAGUAAAAGAUGAGGCUAGGCCCUCUAGUUCCAGUAAAAUGGACCGGGAAGUAUUUUUCAUAUGCUUGGUCGUUGCAGGAGUUGUGCUUUGUUCUGUCUUACUUUUCAAGCUCUGGCAGAAAAAGAAGAGGGAGGAGCAACAUGCUCGUCUGUUGCGACUAUUUGAAGAGGAUGAUGAGCUAGAGCUCGAACUUGGUCUUCGGGAUUAAAAAGCAUGUGAUGCAACUGUGUGCGCUAUUCUGGCAGAGGUAAUAUUGUUGUGGUAAAUUAUGAUGAUCACGGUGGGGGGUUAUGGCUGAACUUGGAGUGAGUUUCUUUUUUCAUCAGCAGUUGCAUACUCGUGCACCAGCAUUGAGUUAGUUUUUGAGAUGUAGUUUGUUGCCAUUAUUAGCCAGAGCAUUUGCACAUGUUAAUAAAAUCUAGUGAUGCUUUGUGACUAGCAUUGUAUGUCAUCCCUUAUUCAAUGUAUGGAGUUUGAUACGGAAGGCAACUAACGAUAUCAGAAAAUUUGUUC
Musa acuminata AAA Group (dessert banana) is the source of this 717-nucleotide long non-coding RNA. RefSeq lists it as uncharacterized. The transcript is spliced from 2 exons. Lineage: Eukaryota; Viridiplantae; Streptophyta; Magnoliopsida; Zingiberales; Musaceae. The record is from RefSeq and is a predicted model, not a curated record.